AGUGAACGCUGGCGGUAGGCCUAACACAUGCAAGUCGAACGGCAGCACAGAGGAGCUUGCUCCUUGGGUGGCGAGUGGCGGAUGGGUGAGGAAUACAUCGGAAUCUACUUUUUCGUGGGGGAUAACGUAGGGAAACUUACGCUAAUACCGCAUACGACCUACGGGUGAAAGCAGGGGACCUUCUGGCAUUGCGCGAUUGCAUGAGCCGGUGUCGGAUUAGCUAGUUGGCGGGGUAAGGGCCCACCAAGGCGACGAUCCGUAGCUGGUCUGAGAGGAUGAUCAGCCACACUGGAACUAAGACACGGUCCAGACUCCUACGGGAGGCAGCAGUGGUGAAUAUUGGACAAUGGGCGCAAGCCUGAUCCAGCCAUACCGCGUGGGUGAAGAAGGCCUUCGGGUUGUAAAGCCCUUUUGUUGGGAAAGAAAUCCAGCUGGCUAAUACCCGGUUGGGAUGACGGUACCCAAAGAAUAAGCACCGGCUAACUUCGUGCCAGCCGCCGCCGUAA
Molecule: ribosomal RNA, 506 nt
Filed under: uncultured bacterium
Lineage: Bacteria
Description: partial 16S ribosomal RNA
Rfam family: Bacterial small subunit ribosomal RNA
Source: RNAcentral